Molecule: non-coding RNA, 429 nt
Organism: Pantherophis guttatus
Lineage: Eukaryota; Metazoa; Chordata; Lepidosauria; Squamata; Colubridae
Source: RefSeq, a predicted model, not a curated record
AGUCAGUGGAGGAACAGAGAAAAAUGAAGAUGUUAAUGUGGGCAGAUUUAUGGGAUGGGUUAUAAAAUUUAUUUCUCAUGUAUGCUGAGACCCGAGAAAUUGAAGAGAAAGGGAUUUCAAGAGAGCAAGGUGUUUUGCAUAGUGUACCCACAGCUUCCAGCCCCAGGCUGAGAUACAAUCACACUGCCAUGAGUUCAAGAUGGUAAGCAGGCACCCAAGCAUUCCAAAGGGCGAGGAGUGGUUAGGAGGCAAAUAAAAGCCAAAGACCUGUAAAUGUGAGAAUUGGUCACAAAGUUACUUUACAUCUCAGCUGUAGACUGAACAGUCGCUAAAUGAGGCAGUUGCUAUAUGAGGGUUAUAUUUCAAUGAAGCAUUAAAUUUAGCUAUUAUGGUCCAAUGUAUUUCUUGAGAACAGUAAUACAAAGUCAU